Molecule: small nucleolar RNA, 149 nt
Organism: Vicugna pacos (alpaca)
Lineage: Eukaryota; Metazoa; Chordata; Mammalia; Artiodactyla; Camelidae
Source: Ensembl
AGUUGUGGUAGUUUUCUUUCUGGCCCAUUUGUUAAGUUUUCAGAUGGGCCUGACUCUGCCACAUAUAUCAUUAUAGGAGCUGGCAAAGGCUUGAUGACAGAGAGAUCUCUUCCUAGCCUUUCCCAUAUCAGAGAUGGGCUCCCACAUGU